GGGUGCAUAGCUCAGCUGGAUAGAGCAACGGCCUUCUAAGCCGUAGGUCGUAGGUUCGAAUCCUACUGCACUCGCCA
Molecule: transfer RNA, 77 nt
Filed under: Eubacteriales Family XIII. Incertae Sedis bacterium
Lineage: Bacteria; Bacillati; Bacillota; Clostridia; Peptostreptococcales; Anaerovoracaceae
Description: tRNA-Arg
Rfam family: tRNA
About the family: Transfer RNA (tRNA) molecules are approximately 80 nucleotides in length. Their secondary structure includes four short double-helical elements and three loops (D, anti-codon, and T loops).
Source: RNAcentral